This 441-nucleotide ribosomal RNA is filed under the name Serratia marcescens. Its description in RNAcentral is "bacterial LSU rRNA". It matches the Rfam family "Bacterial large subunit ribosomal RNA", at positions 1366 to 1789 of the family's 2925-position model. The record is from RNAcentral. Lineage: Bacteria; Pseudomonadati; Pseudomonadota; Gammaproteobacteria; Enterobacterales; Yersiniaceae.
UAAUCGGGGCAGGGUGAGUCGACCCCUAAGGCGAGGCUGAAAAGCGUAGUCGAUGGGAAACAGGUUAAUAUUCCUGUACUUGGUGUUACUGCGAAGGGGGGACGGAGAAGGCUAGGCUAGCCGGGCGACGGUUGUCCCGGUUUAAGCGUGUAGGGGGUGUGACCUGGUAAAUCCGGUUACAUAUCAACCCUGAGGCGUGAUGACGAUGCACUACGGUGCAGAAGUAGUUGAUGCCCUGCUUCCAGGAAAAGCCUCUAAGCUCUAGGUAACAUUGAAUCGUACCCCAAACCGACACAGGUGGUCAGGUAGAGAAUACCAAGGCGCUUGAGAGAACUCGGGUGAAGGAACUAGGCAAAAUGGUGCCGUAACUUCGGGAGAAGGCACGCUGGCAUGUAGGUGAAGUCCCUUGCGGAUGGAGCUGAAGCCAGUCGAAGAUACCAG